UUAAGUUCAGCGGGUAGUCCUACCUGAUUUGAGGUCAAAUUUGUCAAUCCAACUCGUCAGAAGCAGCACAGUGAGAGACAAGGCAUAGAUUUUAUUUAUCACGCCAGUAGGACUCCACAGAUACCACUGAUACAUUUCAGGAGAGCCGACUUCUAGAAGCCUGCAGCCCCCAUUAUCCAAAAUUCCACCAUGUGGGUUUU
This 200-nucleotide unclassified non-coding RNA is filed under the name Inocybe sp. RNAcentral describes it as "partial internal transcribed spacer 2". Lineage: Eukaryota; Fungi; Basidiomycota; Agaricomycetes; Agaricales; Inocybaceae. The record is from RNAcentral.